RNAcentral lists this transfer RNA (73 nucleotides) under Apaloderma vittatum (bar-tailed trogon). It matches the Rfam family "tRNA". From Rfam's summary of the family: Transfer RNA (tRNA) molecules are approximately 80 nucleotides in length. Their secondary structure includes four short double-helical elements and three loops (D, anti-codon, and T loops). The record is from Rfam by way of RNAcentral. Lineage: Eukaryota; Metazoa; Chordata; Aves; Trogoniformes; Trogonidae.
GUCCGGUUAGCUCAGUCGGUUAGAGCAUGGUGCUGAUAACAACAAGGCCGCGGGUUUGAUCCCCGCUCGGUCC